GCGGUCUGUAUAUUCCACCUCAAUAUCAGAGCAUAGGAGAUUAUGGCCUACGAAGACACGGGAAACCGAAAGAAAUGAUAGAACAAUUGGGAAAUUAUACUGAUAAGUUUAAUGCGACAGGCUUGUACAGGUAUGAUUCCAGCCCAUUCAGAUCGGCGUGUCUUUGAGCAAAAACGUUUGGAGAGAAUUUUUUAUUUUACUUUGUUCAGAUUAUAAGAAGUCUAAGCCCCAAAUUGUGAUACAUAUUGGUGAACACUUUGGCGAGUAUUGCAGUAUUUAUAAGAAUCAAAUCUUUGUCUCUAGAUACCGCUGCAAGUUACCAUGGCAGAGAAACUAGUAUCUUCAAUUCUGGAUAUGGUACAAACAUGGGUCUAUAUCCGUUAAAGCUGGAUAUUUUAAACCAUAUCCUUAUGAAGCGUCUUGGGAUGACCCGGAACCUUUUACAGUGAAUCUUUUCGCUGUACGUACAGUGAUCGCUGAAGAAAUUCCUAUGACUGUUUUUGACACCGAAGUGGUCGACUGGCUGAUUCGUUACGUAGAUGUCUUUAGAUGUCGUUGCUUCAUCCGUCGUUCAAUGGACUUAAAAUAUGUUUGUACAUACCAAUUAUAACGGUGUUAAGACAUGGUGUAAAUAAAAAUAAUAAUACUCAAUAAUAUUAAAUUUAUC
This is a long non-coding RNA of Plodia interpunctella (Indianmeal moth), 667 nucleotides long. RefSeq lists it as uncharacterized. NCBI's taxonomy places the organism in Eukaryota, Metazoa, Arthropoda, Insecta, Lepidoptera, Pyralidae. The record is from RefSeq and is a predicted model, not a curated record. The transcript has 3 exons.